Molecule: unclassified non-coding RNA, 2319 nt
Organism: Pogonomyrmex barbatus (red harvester ant)
Lineage: Eukaryota; Metazoa; Arthropoda; Insecta; Hymenoptera; Formicidae
Source: RefSeq, a predicted model, not a curated record
CGCUUAUCUGGAUUGGAACGGAUGAUUACAUAUCAAGUUAAUCGGGAUGAACUAAUUAUGAAUUAAUAACAUGUAAGGACGCAACUAUGUCAGUCAUGGAAGAGAGAUCGGCAAGAGAAGUUGACGAUCUAUGGAGAGAUUACAGGAUGUCACAGUACCACAUAUCUUUCUUAAGAUUCAGUUAAUUUUUUAUUUGAGUGAUAUAUUAUUGAGUGAUAUAUUAUUUUCGUAUGUUUUCGCGCGUAAUUAAGGUAUAGUGAAAGUGCCUCGAGUGAUCCGUUCCAGAAUCUGUGUGUGCAAAAUCCUCGUCGCCGAAUUAUUAUAGGGAUCUUUCUUUUGAGGGAGAUGUUUCGAAAGUAGACUGCAGCAAUACGAUAGCAUUUGUCGACCUCCUACAUAGAUAGCGCAUACGAUUACGGAAAGUCGGACGAAAGAUUUAAAUCGAAAUUGAAAUUAAAAGCUAUCAAAUGUAAAUGAUAAUUAACUCACAACAGAUCAUGUUGCAAAAUUUGGAAGAAUUUCCUGAAAAUGGUAUUAAGAGAAAAUAUCGAUAGAUGCAAUAAAUUAUUGAAGACUGUCAGGAAGAACAAUUGUUGCUGUAGAAAAAUGCUCAUCGAAAUUAUAGUUUACAGAAAUAAGAAAAACAUUCAGAAAGAUUCUUUGUUAUUGAGAAAGAAUAUUUUAGAAAAGCAUUAUUGAACGGUAAGCAGAAUUUAAUGUUGAAUACGAAAAAAGAUAUAAGAAAAAGUUUUUAAAAGAAGAUAUUAAGAAAUCUAAGAAGAUAUUAAGAAAUUUAAAGAAGAAUAUUUAAAGGAAAGCAAUCGCCAAAAUCCAAUAUUAGUGGGAAACAUAUGGGAAUAUUUAUGAUUGUUAAAGAGAGAGUUGAGAUAAUUCAUUAAGGAAAUAUUAUUAGUCAAAACACAUAAUCAAGAGGAUUUAAUAUUGUAACAUUAAUGAAAAGUCAUAAUAGUUCUUUAUUGAAGACAGACGGGACCAAUAAAAAUGCUAAUAAUAGUCUUCCGUGGCCAAAACAGAAUGCUGAAGAAUAUUGUUAGCGAAGACGGAUUUUGAAAAAUAUUUGACACAAGAAAAUAUUGAAAAGGAUUUAUUAUUAUUAAAAAUGAAUAUUGAGAAGAAUAUAAUUGACAUCUUUCAUUGACAACAAAAAAUAUUGGAGAAAUUAAAUUUUUCUUGAAGAAGUUUGUUUAAUAUCCAUUUCGAUAUCUAUUACUGACAAGUAAUUCUAAAGAAAGAUACACACAUUUGAUGAACAAAAAUAAUAAUUUGCUAUUAACGAUAAAGUUUAAAUGAUCUAUUAAUGUAAUUGAUCAAAAAAGAUCUUAUAUUUAGUAGAAAAAGAUUUUGAGAAAGUUUCACAAUUGACAAUCAGAAGUUUCUUGUUAUCACAAGAAAAAGACAUUCUUAAUAAAACAAUUACAUUUAACAGAAAGGAUUAUUUAAAUGAAUCUAUAUUGGUCUAUAUUUAAUUACACGUUUAGUGUGGAGAAUGUGGGAUUGUAUCUGAUGAAUGUAUAUCUUGUUAAAGAUGACUCAAAGUAGAUCCAAAACAUACUCAGCAAGCUCUUCAAAGAUCUUAAAAGAAGGCACGAAAAGGAAGCAAUAGUAUCUACAAAGCAAAGCGCCGUCAGAGAAGGAUUCGCCUGGUCAAGGGUCAACAAGAUUCGAUAACAACGGGUCAGCUGAUAAAUAUUCUGUCGUGAAAUGUAAACUUACGGUUUCAAAUCGCUUUGCGGAACGUCAGUUGAUCGCAAAACCACCCGAAGAGCAUAUAAAGAUCUUCAAGAUUCUGUCUUGUUGCGAAUAGCUAGAUAUCUAUAAAGGAAAUUCACAAAUUAACUUCGUAACGGAGUCCAUUGAAAGUGUGUCAAAAUAUUUGAAUUUUGAAAAAGAUUCUAAGAACUUCAAGAAUUUAAUUGAAAUAAUUAAAAUAAAAAGUUUUAAUGAAAACUUGAAAUGUUGAAUCGUCAAAGUGCAGAAACCUAAAAGAAAUAUUAAAAGAAUCAAUUAUUAUAUGAAAUUAUACAGAAAAAUAAUUGGAAAUAAUUACCGAAGUAGAAAUUAAUAGCUUAUUUACUUUCGAAAUAAUUGAUAAUUCCAUUUCAUUAAUUAAUUCAAAGAGAUUCGCAAAAAUAUUUUGGACUUAUGAAGCAUUAUUUCUAUAAUUUUGUAAAUCUACCAUUUUGUAGAUUGCUAUAUUAAUAAUAUAUUCUAAAAGAAUCCUUAAGAAAGAGAAUGCGAAGAAAGAUCUAUUAGAUAAAAUAAAUGAUUUAAUUACAAAGAUAAAAAAUCCUGAAAAAA